AAUCAACGCUGGCGGCGUGCCUCAGACAUGCAAGUCGAACGCGAAAGGUUCCUUCGGGAACCGAGUAGAGUGGCGCACGGGUGAGUAACACGUAGGUAAUUUGCCUUUGGGUGGGGAAUAACAGCCGGAAACGGCUGCUAAUACCGCAUAAUGCAGCGGCUCGACAUCGAGACAGUUGUUAAAGCGGGGAUCGCAAGACCUCGCGCCUAAAGAGAAGCCUGCGGCAGAUUAGCUAGUUGGUAGGGUAAUGGCCUACCAAGGCGACGAUCUGUAACCGGCCUGAGAGGGCGGUCGGUCACACUGACACUGACAUACGGGUCAGACUCCUACGGGAGGCAGCAGUCGGGAAUUUUGGGCAAUGGGCGAAAGCCUGACCCAGCAACGCCGCGUGAAGGAUGAAAUCCCUCGGGAUGUAAACUUCGCAAGAAUGGGAAGAAUAAGUGUGGGCUAAUACCCUCAUGA
Molecule: ribosomal RNA, 462 nt
Filed under: uncultured bacterium
Lineage: Bacteria
Description: bacterial SSU rRNA
Rfam family: Bacterial small subunit ribosomal RNA
Source: RNAcentral